RNAcentral lists this unclassified non-coding RNA (247 nucleotides) under Hevea brasiliensis (rubber tree). The record is from RNAcentral. Lineage: Eukaryota; Viridiplantae; Streptophyta; Magnoliopsida; Malpighiales; Euphorbiaceae.
AGGGAAAUGGGUGGUUCUCUAUCCCUUCUCCAAUUGUGGGUUGCUCUCCUCUGCUUUUGGGAGGCUGUAGAUAGGUUUUAAGUCAUGGUUAUUGGCAUAUUGGUGCUUCAAGAGACAGAAAGACUUGUCUUAAUUUGCCUUCCUUAUUAAUAGCUAUUGGGUUUUGUUUUUGCUACCGGUGUGGUUCAGUUGAGAAGAUUUAUGUCCCACGUGGGUCUGACUUGCUAAGUUGAUCUGGGUGUCUAUU